This is a microRNA precursor of Cavia porcellus (domestic guinea pig), 106 nucleotides long. NCBI's taxonomy places the organism in Eukaryota, Metazoa, Chordata, Mammalia, Rodentia, Caviidae. The record is from Ensembl.
AUGCUCCAGUGGCGCAAUCGGUUAGCGCGCGGUACUUAUAUAGCAGUAUGUGCGAGCAAUGCCGAGGUUGUGAGUUCGAGCCUCACCUGGAGCAUGUUUUUUACCC